Long non-coding RNA from Dunckerocampus dactyliophorus (ringed pipefish), 13364 nucleotides. RefSeq lists it as uncharacterized. Lineage: Eukaryota; Metazoa; Chordata; Actinopteri; Syngnathiformes; Syngnathidae. The transcript is spliced from 3 exons. The record is from RefSeq and is a predicted model, not a curated record.
CGUUUUGGGGAAAAAGAUAUAAUAGUAUUGGAAUAAAAUAAAAAAUAUUACGGGAAUGAAGUCAUAAUAUUACAAAAGAAAAUCCACAAAGAUUACUUAAGCAGAAAGUUUAAAUAUUUCGGGUUUUUUAAUUUUUUUUAAAAACAACAGAAUGCAAAAUGGGGGGAAAAAGAGCAAAGACCAAAGUUUCUUUUUCAACAAUAUCACAAAGCUGAAAUGCAGUUUUUUUGUUUUUUUUAUUGUUCUGUGUGCGUUAUACGAGCAAAAAUAUGUCAUGUGUUUCUUGACUGGAUGCAUGAGUAGUAUAUGUGCAGUUGAAAAAUAAGCCACGGUAUUUUUUUUGAGCAACAAUUAAGGCCAGAUUCAAUAUUUCAUAAUAAAAAAUAAAAUUGAAAAUAAUUUAAUAAAAAAAGUUAUGAAAUAAAUCGGUUAAUUAAAAAAAUUACAUAAUUAUGAUAAUUCAUGAAAUACGUCAAGCCUAGUAGCCUCGUGGUUAGCAAGUCAGCCGCACGCUCAGGAGAUUCGGGUUCGUAUCGCCGUUGGAACAUCUCAAUCUGGAGUUUGCAUGUUCUCCCCCUGCGAGCGUGGGUUUUCUCCGGUUACUCCGGCUUCCUCCCACAUUCCAAAAAUAUGCAUGUUAGUUAAUUGGAGGCUCUAAAUUGUCCACAGGUGUAAAUGUGAGUGUGAAUGGUUGUUUGUCUACAGCAGGGGUCACCAACGUUUUUCCUCGUGAGAGCUACUUUUACAAAAUGAAAAUGGCCAAGAGCUACUCAUUCUUGUAACAUUUCUUUUCAGAGCUUAUUUUAAACCCAAACAAAGCGAAUAUGCUUGUUUUACCAGAAGAUUAACAAAAUGCUGGUGUCCACAACUCACACUUUGUAUUUCAGAAUGCAUUUCUUUCUGCUGUUCUUUCAUUAUUAACUGAAAACCUGAAUGAAAAGCAGGCUUGCGGGCACCUCAUGUGGUCGUGGGGGGCUACCUGGUGACCCCUGGUCUAUAGGGUAUGUGCCCUGCGAUUGGCUGGUGACCAGUCCAGGGUGUACCCCGCCUCUCAAUGUCAGGUGGGAUAAGCUACAGCAUAGAAAAUGGAUGAAUUGAUGUUUUAUUGUGUCCUUACAGACAUUGGUUUAUGUUUUUGUGUGCAGGAAUAGGGGGUAUAUGGCUUCAGAUCAAAUGUUUUAAUGGAAAGUUAAACAUUUUGUGAAGUUAAACACAGUCAGACUCUCAUCAAGGCACAUUGUAAGGUUGGAUGACUUUGGUGUGGCAGAACUUGCACAGAACCCUCAUGUCAAACCCAUCAAAUACUUUUUAGGGAUCGUGAGCCAGCAGUCUCAUUGACUUCUGACCACACAAAUGUUCUUCUGGAUCAACUGAAUGGAUACAAAUUCCCGCACAGAAACACUCAAAAUUCUUGUAAAGUCCUUCCAGAAGAGUGGAAAAGGAGUUUCUACUCCAUAUUUUUCUUUGAUUUCUAAACGUGACGUCAUGACGAAGCGUCCCAGUAUUUAUUUAAACAUACAACUGUUUGUAUUAUGGAUACAUGACGCCCUCUAGUGGCUGAAUAAGCCAUUACAAGUAGGAAAACAAUGGAAAAAAAGACAAUCCAAUCCAGUACCAACUGUACUACCGGAACAAUAUGUACAAAGCACGCGAUAAGAACAGAUGUAUAGACUUCAGCACAGAAAAGACUUCACAGUCAUAAAAUCUAUUAUACUGAUUCAAACUUGAUGCAGUCUGUCAACAAAUCAAGUUAUAUAUACAUUUUUGCUCAUGUGUAAUACCUCAGGAAAGAAAAUAUAUUUUGACACCAUUAAUAUAUAAUGAAUAAUGUCUUAAAAUAAUAACAUGACAAUCGAAAUGAUUAUACAUAUAUAAUUAUAAAUUAUAGUACAAAUCCAUGAUUCAAAUGUAAGUGUCUCUGUUGGCACUGUAUGUACAAGCAAAUCCUCAAAAAUGGGAUGUGGAUGUGGUGUGACCACUUAAAGAGCAGCUCCAAUGAUAACGUGCGGAGGCUCUGCGUGUCUUUGCGUCUGGAUCGGUUCUUCAGUGGUCACGUUCGCUCCACAUCCAUCAGGACCUUUAGGCACACAAGGUGGGCAGAAUGGUACAUAAUGGAUCCAUGACAAAGACGAAAAGUAAGAACUGAGUCCAAAAGGAAGAUCAUAGACUUCUCCACUCUCCAGUGUGUUGCUGGCGCUGUCCUCGUGGGCUUUGUUCCAGGCCAGGAUGCCUCGUUCCUGCUUUGUUCCUGUAAGAUAGAUAUACGCGCGUCAAAUGCGAGAAACCAUCAGUCUUGCCUGAAGCAGCAGAAGAAAUAAUUUGUUUGUUUGCUGCAGGGCUCCCCAUGCAGUUUAUGCAUCAAAAUAAUCAAUAAAAGCUGAAUCGAGGCAGUUGGAUUCUUCUUGUUAAUUGAAGAUGUUUCACCUCCAGUGUGGAGUCUCUAGAUUGAUUGUUUCUAGAUUGAUGUAAAUGGCAUAUUUCACACCUGUUACGAACCUUUGGUCUUCCCUACAUAGAAUUUGGAUAUUUGAUGACCUCAAAAGGAACGACCCUUUGUUUUGAGAUGCAAACUCCAAACUGAACAUGAACUGCUGACUAUGGACUCGAAGAAACUGCUCUCCUAUGUUGUGCCAUGUUUUUAUAUAAGGGCUGCUUGGUCUCUCCAAUGUAGGGGUCAUGCAUAAACAAUCUAGCAGAGUUUGCUUCCUGGGUUGUUGCCUUUGGGGUGUACAUUAGCUUUUGUCUACCCCAAAGAUUGUCUCAUUCCACCGGAAGAGCGGCGAGUAAUGAGCUGUUUUGCCACCAGACAGGCGAACAACUGUUAUGUAGGAUGGUCUUUUAUCUAUAAAGAACAGGGUGCCUUUUGUUUGUUAUCGCUUUGUAUGUAUUGUAUUGUAUUGUAUGUACUUUAUUUGUCAUGUACAAGUGCAAAUAUGCAGCAUGACUUAUCCAAAACAGAGCGGAACAUAUUCCAAUCCUAACAGCACCUCGCCUUCUUGUCUGUGCUGUUCGCUUGCUACACCGCCAUGUUUAUGGGUGACUUCGUCAAACCUGAGCAGGAGGGGAAGGACAUCAAGUGGAGAAUUAACGUGCCUUCCGUCCGACACACAGCUGCAGAUAUCCGCUGGAGAAGAGCGCGCCAUAAAGAGAGAGACAGCGUCUCGCCGCUGUUGCUCACGUUGUGUUGCAAACGGCCCCUUUUCAAGUUUGAGUUUUUUUAAAUUCCACAAUGUUUUAUCAUUCAGAUUUUGUUUAACUUUUUCCGCAUUGAAAAAACUAGAUGCAGACUUCUAGAAAACUAAAAGUAAACUUAUUAAAUACUGACACACACAUUGAGAAAUAAUAAAUAUUUCACACAAAAAUCAUUCUUGCUGACACCAAUAUUGUCACGUUACGCAGGACAGGAGUCAGUACUUGUCAGUACCUGUCCUGCGCCAUUAUUUUGGCGAGCGGUGCUUCUGGCGUGGUGGAUGGGACAGCCGCUCCACGCCUGGUGGCCGCAGCUGCGGCCAAUCCUCAUUAGCGGCAGUUAAAAGACCAGCGCGGCGCAUUCGAUGGCGCUGGUUCAUUGCCAUUGUCAUUGCAUUUCAUAUGUGUCGCCUCCAAGUCAGUGCUGUCACCUGAACGAUCACUUACCUGGGUUCUACCGGUUGUAUUUACUUUCCACAGAGCUUUUUUCUCUGUCGCCUUUUGUUCAUUACCUUUUUGCACUAUUAAAAGAACCUUUAUUUUUUCCAAGCCAUUGCCUCUUCUCUGCAUACUGGGGGUCAAGCUACCAACAGCGUCAGCUGCAUCGUGACAAAUAUUGUGCAACUUAGUAAUAUACUGUAUAUACGCCAACACAAUCAGUGAAUGAUAUUUUAUUUUCCAUCAAUCAGCAAAGCAGAUUACAUCAAACAAUGCAUAUUUAAUACAAAUAUGUGCCGUACAUAAUGUGCUAAUAAAGAGUAUUACCUGGAAUUGUGUUGUCUAAUACGAAGCCAAAGAAGCCUCCAACAAACAUACUGGUUGUAAAAAGAACCUGCAGCAACUGGUCUACCUCUGCCACACCUGCACACAAUGACACCAAGACAACAAAACUGCUCAAGUAAUCAACAGUCAUCAUUUGUAACUUGCUUUCAAACAUGGUCAUAAGUAUACCUGUAGAAAUAACUGUCGGGUUCUUUACUAUCCAGUUAGGUAUGACCAGACCCGAGAACAUGGAGAAACCAAAAACGAAGAUGUUGCGAGAUGAAUUUAAAUCUGCAUACUAAAAGUAAAAAAACAUCAAAAUCCAGACAGAACAAAAUAGUACAGGCAAAAGUUUCCAUACACCUUUUAUUAUAUGUUUGACUGGGUUUGUUUGCCUACAGAAGCAGGAGCUUUGACACUCAUCCGGCCUCAAAACUUGCAGCGACGUGAACACGUGCUAAUGUAUGUUCGGAAGUUGGUAUUGGAAUUACAACAAGCAAGCAGUGUGGAUUACGUAGACACGGCUUGAAGAAACGCCUUCUCUAGCCUGCUAGCUCACCUGACAACCAGGCUAAAGACUACACCUUGUCUCCGAUUCCAUCUGUUCAUUGAUCAUCUGACAUUAUCAUUCAUUAGUGGUGAUUACCUAUACAUUUUAUACUUGAAAUGCAUUUAAUAAGUGUGUGAGACAUAUUUAGGGCUUAAGCCUGGUUUGUGAGUAAACAAUGGUAAUUGAAGGGAGAUAGGGAAGGUUCUGCGAUUGAAAAGCAGUCGUAACAGACCGACAUCAACAUUACUCGCAGUAUCUUGUAAUGGCAUAUCACAUGCUUUUAGUAUAAAUGCGGUGGAGUGCUCACCUGGAGAGUUGAAAUUCCUGCUGCAGAAAUGACCCCGAACAUAACCAUGAACAUCCCCCCAAUGACGGGGGAUGGGAUGGUGGAAAAUAUGGCUCCCACUUUGCCGAACACACCCAUGACUAUCAAGAAGACGCCCCCAGCGACAAUCACCAUGCGACUUCCAACCUGCAGCAAUGAAGGAAAGAAAUUUUGUGGCCCCUCAUUCAAUCGGAGGUUGGCCAAAGCACAGGUUUCUCAAUAAUGCCUUCCUUAGAUUACCUUUGUGAUGCCAAGGGCUCCUAUAUUCUCACUGUAUGAGGUGGUACCAUUUCCUGUCCCCCAUGCUCCAGCCAGCAAACACCCCAGCCCCUCAAUUCCAAUCCCCCUGUUGAUGGCAUGUUUAGGCGGAGGCGGAGCCCCUGACAGCCUGGCGCACGCAUGGUAGUCCCCAACAGACUCUAUCAUGGAGGAAAUCACACCUGCCAAAAUGCCAACCACCCCUGCCAGGCUCACAGUGGGCAACCCCCAUUGGCCUAAGUGAACAGAAAGGGUCUUGGUAUGCAUAACAUGGAAUCAUUAGCCUGUUUUGAAUGUAUUAACAUCUUUUUACCAGGAUAGGGGAACAAGAUCCAGGGGGCUUUACCCACUACAUCUCCCUUUAUGUCAGUACGAGCCAAGUAACCAUACUGGCCUGGAUCAGAGGGAAGGGCAUUAAAGGUAGUUAAAAUGUAGCAGAGCAGCCAGGACAAGGCGAUUCCAAGCAGGACCUAAAGGGAUGAACAAAACAUCAGUGUUACUUUUAAGAGGCCCAGAGAGCAAAUGUGCUUUCAUGUAUUUUUUUUAUGCUUUUUCAACAUACAGGGAGAAUCUGGAAGACGUAAACACGGCAGGAGUGUAAUUUUUUAUCCUUGCUGUAUGUUGGGAAAGGUAUGGGAAUAUGGCGAAGGUACUGUGAGAAAACGAUGAUCAGUAUAGUGGUCCUAAAAGACAGAAGUAGAAAAUUCACAAUAUAGUUGAUCAGAUGACACGUUUGCAAAAUAUAAAGCUAAUUAUGGUUCUUGGAAGCUUUUAACAGGAUGUGCUGCUGUUCUUGUGAGGGUAUUGCAGCUUUACAACAUACAAGACUGUAGUUCAAGGAACAUUUGAAACAUGUAGUAGAUUUAUAAUAUUAUAUAUGGACACUCCUGAUCAAAUUUUUAAGAAAAAGUUUUACGAACAAAUUCUUCAGAACCACAAAAUUGCCCGUUUCGAAUUUGCACGACAACACCAAGCAUGGGAGAUUGAAAGGUGGCUGAACUUUUAUUCUCUGAUGAGAGCAAAUAUAACCUUGGCGGUCCUGAUGGCCUCCAAUGUUACUGGCCUGACAAGGAGAUCCCACCUGAGAUGUUUUCCACACGGCACAGUGGAGGGGACGCCACCAUGAUGUGGGGUGCUUUUUCCUUAAAUGGAACAAUGGAGCUAGAGGUUGUUCAGGGGCGUCAAAUGGCGGUGUGGAGAUCUUGCAGGGGGCAUCCUUCAUGACUGAAGGACCUCAUCUGUGUGAUAAUGACUGGGCGUUUCAACAGGACGACGCUGCAGUUCACAAUGCCUGCCUGACACAAAGACUUCUUCCAAAGGAAUAACCUCACGGUUUUGGACCAUCUUGUGUGUACCCCUGAUCCAAUUGAGAAAAUGUGGGGAUGGAUGGCAAGGGAAGUUUACAAAACUGGACAAAUCAGUGGCUGCCCACAGUGAAACCAUCACCACCUGGAGCAACAUUCCCACCAGCCUCUUGGAAACGCUGUCAUCCAGCAUGCCCAAACCAAUUUUUGAGGUGAUGAACAAGAAUGGUGCAGCUACACAUUACUCCUUUUUUGAACAUUUGAUUUCUAUUUUAGGGUGAUUUCUGGGUUAGGGAGGUGUUUGCAUGGUAAAUUCUUGCAAUUUUUUAAAUGGUCUUAAAAUUUUCAUCAGGAGUGUAUUUAGUGCUUGUUUCUAGGUUUGUUGACAUUUCCACCCAGUUCCACCACUUAGAGCCAUGUUAUCAGUGCAAUCUAAAAUUAAUCACGAUUUAGAGAUAAACAAAACCAAGCAAGAUGAUAUCAAGUGCAAAAGUCCAUAAAAGACUUAUACUUACAAGGCAGAAAUGCCCCAGUGGUUUCCAGCACUUGUGCCAGCAGAGUCAAAAAGGGACAGUCCAAUGAGAGAGAUGGUGGGUGCGAUGGUGAGAGGUCCAAUGAAGCGCAUGAAGAUGCCAAUCAGACCAGAAAAUCCAACAACCACCUGGAAGAGCGAGCCCACCAUAAUGGACCCCUGGAGCUGGAGAAAAACAUGAUGGAUGCACACAUUUAUAUCCUACCAUCGCCCCAUUGCUUAAAUAAAAAGAAAAACAAAUACCGUAAUUUCCAGUGUAUAAGACACACCGUUUUUUAAGCCACACCCACCAAAUUUAGAGAGAAAACAUGAUUUGUACAUAUACUGUAUAAGCCGCACCGGACUAUAAGCCGCAAAUGUCCAUGUCAUAAAAUGGCAUAUUGUGGCACGUACGGGUCUGUGAGGACCAGGCAGCUCUAUAUUUGACAGGAGCCAAUCAUGAGCAGUGAGAAAACUCACAACGAGCUUAUCAACCCAUCGGAAAUCACAGGACAUCAUGACUCAAUAUAACAGUCUGACUCAUAGUGUCAUCUUAGAUAGAAGGCAAAAAUCAUCACACAGCAACUUAACCCUCAAGACAAGUUUAAUAUUAAAAAAAAAAACAGCCAUCUUAACUUCUUCCCAUUAUGCAUUAUUCCCAGCAGAGCAGAUUGGCUUACGGUUGCCAUGGGUGCCCGGCAGCCAUGGCAGCUCAGCUCCAGAGGGAGCUCAUGAGCACUAUUUCUUGACUUCUGAUUUCAGUGUAAGUAUGCAAGUAAAUAAUGAAAUACAUAAUAAUAUCAAGAGGUGAUUAUACUGUACAUUUAUGUGGUUUUACAGUUACAGGCAGCCUUUUGAGGGCAACCAUAACUGCAAUGUCGCCCACGGUGAAAACAACUUUGACACCUCUGAACUACAGUAUACACGCUGAUUUGUGGUGAUUUGAAAGCCGUAUUGUCCCCAGUUUACUUACCGCUCUCAUCCUGCUCUGCCACACCUCUAUGAAUUCACUAGAGGACGUGUUGACGAGUGUUGCGUUCUGUGUCCAGGCGGGACAUGUCCACUCUGGCAUGGACAGCAUCGCCAUGGACGGCGCCAGCAAUGUGAAUGUCCCACCUUGAAGAAUUGGUAGGCUGGAAACCGACAAGAGAAAACAGGAAGGGGAGUAGGGAGGAAAUAAUGUUAGCUAACAUGAUUCAUGUCCCAUCAGGGUGAUGGGACAUAUCAGUGUACAUACAGCUUACCAUGGUGCAAGAUGGUGGCACCCUGUUCCACAAUCAAGCUUCCACAGUCAGGCAAGCACUGAGGCUUAUGUAGAUGCGGCUUGGAGAAACACCUGAGAAGCAGGGGAGCAGCGUUCUCCAGCCUGUGGGAGAGGGAGGCGGCGCUACAACAGAGGGAAGUGCGGUGGUAGCGCUAGUCUGAUAACCAGGCUAAAAGCCAGACCGUGUUCAUCUUUCAUUAUCAUUCAUUAGUGGUGAGUACCUGUGCAUUUUAUACUUUAAAAUGUGUUUAAUAAGUUUGAGGCAUAUUUAGGGCUUAAACCUGGAGUGUGUCACGAGUGAACAAUGGCAAUUGAAGAGAGAACCGGAAGGUUCUGGCGCUGAAUCUAAGUUAUUUACAACAGUCACUUCUAUUGCAAAUGUUGAUCUGAAAUUGGAUGAGAAUGUCUAUGACAAGCUAGCAAAAGGGUUACUUGUGUUACUUGUGUUUUUUCACCAUUUGUGAGGGUCUCGUAGCGUAAACAAGUAGCGGGGAUUUACUGUACAGCUGUAUGGUUCGCAUUGCACAGAGAAUGUAGACCAAUGGUGUCCAAGUUUUUUUAUUAUUCCAAGGCACAUAACCUGAUGUUGUAAUAUUAUCAGAAAAAAUAGCAUCAUAUAGUAUAAAGUUGAAUUAUAAAAGAAAGAUGUUAUUUUUUUAAAAUUGUAAUAUCAUGAAAAACAAACAAAACAACUCAUAGUUUUUGGAAAAUUGGGUUGUGAAAAAUUUAUAAUGUUACAAGAAUAAAGUCAAAAUGUUAUGGGAAUAAAGUUGUAAUGACGAGAACAAAAUUUACAAGACGAAAGUUAAAAGGAAGAACGAAGAACAACACCAGAAAUGAAAUAAACAGCUGUGGUUUUACAAGAAUAAAGAUGGAAAAGGCCGUAUUCUAAUGAGAAAAAAAGUUAUAAAGCCCUAAUAUUACCAGGAAAAAGAAUGUCAUUUUACUAGCAUAGAGCGGAAACAUUGAAGAAAAAAAUAUGUUUAAAAAAAUAUGAAACAAACUAAAGGUAUGAUUUUUUUUUUAAUUAGGUUGGGAAAAAAUGUUAGAAUAUUAUGGGAGUAUGGGAGUAAUGUCAAAAUAUUAUGAGAGGAAAAUUUACAAAGAAAGUUGAAAUAUUUGAAAAAAUUAAAACGCAAUAGCAAAAAUGGGGGAAAGACAGCAAAGACCAAAUAAAAUGCAUUUUCACCCAUAUCACAAGGCUGAGAUGCGUUUUCGCCUUGAAAUCUAAAUAAAUUCUUAACAUUCUACACGUGUUGGUUUAGAAAACAUCAAAGCGGCCUUUGCGUCCUUUCAUAUUUCAGUAUGUGGCCCUCACUGGAACAAGUUUGGACACCCCUGAUGUAGACUUAGAAUUAUCUUGACCAUGUUAUGGACAUGGCUUUCAAAACACGUGCAAGGUGACACUUCGUCAUACCCAUAAUAGGCCAGUCAGAUCAACAAGUAGGCAUGCACCGCCUCCGAAGGGUCAUAGACGACCACAAUUGACAGUAUCCUAUCAGGGAUGCAUCAACUCUUCAUGAUACUCUGUAUGUACAGGCACCAAUAUAACGCUCUUCUCAAUUUACAGUGUACAGUUUCUUAUGAAGAAAUAUUUAAGAAAAGAUGUCUAAUUUGAAGAAAUAGAUACAAUAUUUCAUAUAGGCUGAGCUCUUGAGCAAUGCUCCAUUUCCAACGACAAUCCGUAAACUCCAGGUGGCAACUCUCUAACGGAGUUCAAAUGCUCUCCCAUCAUAAUCAUCAUUUGAAUUAUCAUAGCAACAGUUGUGUCCAAAUCAUACUGAGUCAUCACAUAUUUCAAUAAAAACUGUUGGGAGAGUAACUUGCUUUCGUUCCCAAAAAUAACACAAUAAAAUGUGUGCUGUUUUAGUUUCUACCAGCUUGUGCUGUGAAACAUUUUUCAUAGCUGAGUUCCCAGGAAUUUGGGGGAAGACAAGAAAGCAUCAGUGGCCCUGAGCCAAUGGAAUGUGGAUUUAGCAAGAACAAGAUUCCAUAGAUAAUAAGUUGGAAGGGCUUUCUCCUAAUCCCGCUCUGACACCAAUAUUCAGCAUGACUGAGAAUGCACAAGCACAAAUUCAAAUUUACUAAACCUGCUUGGAAUUCAUGGCUUUCCAAAACAAAAGCAGUCACUUCAAAAACAAUCACCGCAUUGCAGUUAGACUGCUUGAAUUAUGCCAUCAUCCCGCCGACAGGCCUUUCUAAUAUUUUAUACCUCUCAUAACUAAAUGAGGUGAUGAAAUAUUGAUAUAUACAAAAAAUCAGACUUUAUUUUUGUAUUUAUUUAUAACAAAACAUUUUACAAUUUUUGUUAAAUUUAUUUUUCUUUAUUUUAGUAAUAUUAGUACAUUAAUCUAGUAAUAUAAUGUAAUAUAAAUAACAUUAGUAAUAAUAUAAUGUAAUAUAACAUUAAUAAAAAUAUAGUAUUCAGUGUUCCGUCGUUUAUCGCGGGGGAAAAGUUUCCAAAAUAGCCGGCAAUAAGUGAAAUCCACGAAGUAGCCAAUUAUAUUUUUUUAUAAUUAUUAUAUAUGUUUUAAGGGUGCAAAACCCCUCACCGUACACUUUAGACACUUUUCCCAGACAGGCAUUAAUAUUUUCUCACAUUUCUCUCUUGUUUAAACACUCUCAAAGUUAAAAUUUUAUUUGAAUUUUAAUGAUCAACCUCCUAGGUUGGACACAAGAAAUUAUUAAGUGACUCACGCGUAUUUCACUCUGACGGUGCCUCGUCGUAAUGGCGCCGUUCGGCUGUAGUGUUUUUGUAUCCUUGUUAAAACAUAUUUCUCCUGUUAUCAUAUUUUCCUCACACGGUUAGCUUCUUCUGUUUCUUCUAUUGUUUACUGUAUUGGCAGUUCGCAAGCAGCUCACACAGUUAGCUAGUUUGCUAGCCAUGACCACAAUAAGAGACUGCACCAACGACAUGGUGAAACGGUCUACAGCCAAUCAGGAAGCAGAAGACAAAGUGCUGUGCAGACAGAAGAGAGAGAAUAGAGAGACACCGCCUACACUACAACUACAACACUCAACUUCCCACAAUGCAAUUGUCAUGUGCUGCUUUGCUGUCCUCUGCUUGUAAGCAGCGCUUUCUGUAUCGUUCUUGUCUUGUUUUCUUGAGUUGUCUUGCAGUUUUGAGUUGUACUUUUUGUAUUUUGUAUGAACUGUUCCUUAAUACAUUUUUGUUACACGGACUUCUGCUCUCUGCAUCUUGGGGUUCUACUUUGUGACAGCAAUUGUUCUUAAAGGGCCAGGCUCGGCCUGUAACAGCGUUCAUAUGCUGUGUGUAUAUAUAUAAACAAAAAAAAGCACUCAAAUUGCACCAAAAAAAAAUUAGCGAAACAGCAAGUCCACGAAAGGUGAACCGCAAGGGAGCGAGGGAACACUUUAAUAUGUAAUAAUAAAGUAUCUAGGCAGAAAAUACUUUUUUUUUGGCACACAUUGUGUUUUUCAUGAAAUUUAUAAACAUUUUUAAAUCUGUAGUAUUACAAGGUUUGAUUUUGUUCUUGUAAUAAUGUGACUUUAUUCCUAUAAUAUUGCAACUAUUCUGAUGGAACAUGUACGAGUUUUACAUGAUACAUUUUUAAAUGAAUUUAUAACUUGUGAGAAAAAAACUUCUCAAAAUAUUGCAUUUUUUCCUUAUAAUAUUGCAACAUUAUUCUUGUAAGACUUUGACUUUUUCCAGUGUUUCCAUAGUGUUUAUAUAGAAAUAUUAAUAUCCAAUUUUUUGUAGUUGACAUUCCUCCUCUUAAAAUUGUGCUCUGAAAUAGUUUUUCACAUGUACAAUUGAGUGUAUUUAUGUUUAAAAAGAUGUCAUACAUGUAUUUUUAAAGCUAUUUUUAUAUAAAAAUGAAUGUGUUUUAUAAAAGUGGGUCACGACCAGGAUGACACCAGUUGAGAACCCCUGCUUUAGACGACACCUUCUGACUGUGUGUUUCUUUUUUUCAAAUGCAGUAUUUUUUAUACAGCUAUCGUACAUGCCUGCUGCACUGAAAACUGGUUUGGGGUUUCCAAUUGAGGAAGGAUAUUUUCAGCAAGUUGCCCAAAAACAGUUUUUCUACUUCAUCCACUGCAUUGCAUUACUUCUCCUACAAUAAGAAUCUUACUAAAGUUUUCAGAGGCUCAAUCGCAAGCAGCAACACUGUUAAUCCCGCUUAACUGCUCUUUUUUUGUGGGCCGAACAGAGCUGCUGCAACAAGGGAAUUUGGGUAUGCAUAAUAGGAUGAUUGUGCCUUACUCAUGUGUUGCGUGUUUAUGUACACACAAGGCUAAACAAGUACUGGCAACAUCUCGUACUAUAAACAGGACAGCUGAAGUGCACAGUCACAACAACACUCAUCCAAAUUAACGAAAGUUAGCUUCAGUAUGACUUUAGCCGAUUCAUUUAUGUAAUUUUCCACUAGAUGGUGAUGUUUUCUUUUCUGUUUCCACCCCCCUUUUAAUUCUUUAAUAUUUUCUUUCACAUUUUUUGCCCUCUGAUCCAUAGUCUUGCCGAUCUGAUCCGGUACCGAAUUAUUUUUGUUUAAUUUUUUGUAAUGAUAAGCUUUUGUUACAAACAUGAAUUUGUGGAAUUUAAUAUGAUUAUGAAAAUACCUCUUCAAAGCAUUAAAAAUAAUUUGCGGAAAAUUGCGGAAUUUACUUUUUUGUUACACAGGAUGAACAACAAUAUUGUUGGGCUUUUGUAACAAACCUCUGUGCGUCAGAUCCCUAAUCCAAUAAUGAACAGCUCCAAAUCAACUGAAAAUUGGAAAUCAAGCUAAAAGGUAGCGCACAUGUCUGAAAAUGUAUUUGCCUAACGCUAGUCUCUUUAAUAGUAGCGGAACAUUUGAAUCACACUUUAACUGCGUUACUAUGAGCCAUGAAGGGUUGCAUUCAAAGACCCCACGUAACUUAAGUCAAAUUCACAAGUUUUGAGUGUAGAUGUAUUUUCUGGGAUUUCCAAGCAUAAAUUAAUGCAUCUACUUACUGUUUUUGUUGUCCUUCUGUUUAUUUAGAGCACACAUACACACAUAAUAAAAACAUUCUGAUUAUCGGAGUGUUAGUGAAUGCAUCUCGCUGUCGUCUGGUGACAAUGACUGACUAGAGACGUGUUUGUGAGUUGGAGAUACAUACUGGAUAUGGUGUUGGAAGUAAACUGGUAUUGAUGCAUUCAGGUCAGAUUAGAGUUAUUAAUGAGUGGAAGACGUGAUUGUGGUGCCACACAUGUUGUUAUU